GAUGAACGCUAGCGGCAGGCUUAACACAUGCAAGUCGAGGGGCAGCGCGAUGUAGCAAUACAUUGGCGGCGACCGGCGCACGGGUGCGUAACACGUAUGGAACUUACCCUUUACUGGGAGAUAGCCCGGAGAAAUCCGGAUUAAUAUCCCAUAAUAAACGAAGUGGCAUCACUUUAUUUUGAAAGCUCCGGCGGUAAAGGAUGGCCAUGCGCACGAUUAGCUAGUAGGUGAGGUAACGGCUCACCUAGGCUACGAUCGUUAGGGGGCCUGAGAGGGUUAUCCCCCACACUGGUACUGAGACACGGACCAGACUCCUACGGGAGGCAGCAGUGAGGAAUAUUGCGCAAUGGAGGCAACUCUGACGCAGCCAUGCCGCGUGCAGGAAGAAGGCGCUACGCGUUGUAAACUGCUUUUAACCGGGAAGAAACCCUCCGACGUGUCGGAGGUUGACGGUACCGGAGGAAUAAGCACCGGCUAACUUCGUGCCAGCAGCCGCGGU
This 499-nucleotide ribosomal RNA is filed under the name uncultured bacterium. Its description in RNAcentral is "bacterial SSU rRNA". It matches the Rfam family "Bacterial small subunit ribosomal RNA", at positions 28 to 521 of the family's 1533-position model. The record is from RNAcentral.